RNA transcript from Triticum dicoccoides, 880 nucleotides. RefSeq lists it as uncharacterized. The record is from RefSeq and is a predicted model, not a curated record. NCBI's taxonomy places the organism in Eukaryota, Viridiplantae, Streptophyta, Magnoliopsida, Poales, Poaceae. The transcript has 5 exons.
GGGUGGUGCCGGCCGCUCUUACUUUGUGUAGUCCUCUUCACUCUCGUCAUGUCGUUGCCGCCGCCGAGGAAGACGGAGAGCCUGUCGGAGGGAUGAGCGCCAUGGCCAGUUCUGACCUCCUCCGUCCAGAUCCAGCUCCAGGACUGAAGAAGAGAACAUGGGGAGCAGCAGCUGCCCUCUGCUCUGCUCUUAUGCGAAUGCUCUACUGCAGGACCGUGGCAGCGAUGCUCGCCAAAGCGGACGACAACCACUCCCGUGCAAACAAAGGUGAGCAUUCAGGAAAAGAACACUUGGCUGAACUUCAGGAAAAAGAUGCACCGAAUCUUACACCUGCACCAAGACAUACAACAAAGAAAUGAUUAAAUGAAAUGAUCAAGUGAUGAAGUGAUGGAAUGAUCAAGUGAUGAAAUGAUGGAAUGAUCAAGUGUAACUGUACCUGGAUUUUGAACAAUUUCAUCUCCUUCCAUUCCCUCUCCAUCAUCUCCUUCCAUAUCAUCUCCUACAUGUCCUUCCAUUUCAUUUUCUGCAUUUUCAUCCAUUUCAUCCACAUCUUCUGCAGGUGGAGUGAAGUUGAGGUCUGGGAGAUCCAUUUUCUCCUGAAGAUAUGAAUAUAUAAUUUGGUCGAAAAGGGACGACAUGCUGAGGUGUACAACAUUCAGUUUCUCUUUCGACAUGCUGAGCUCUAUAAGUGCUCACAUUCUUUGUAUGGAUCUUAUUGAAUGAGUACUUGUUAACAUUGGUACCAUUUUCUUCAGAUUUUCGUUGGUGGUCUUCUGAUUGAUUUGGAAGGAAGAAUUGUUGGUAUGAAUUUCAUAGACGAGAAUAAAACUCCCUUUUUGCCCGUCCAGAUUGUUGGGAGAUGCCUGAAACACUUCAGAAA